Small nuclear RNA from Sciurus vulgaris (Eurasian red squirrel), 105 nucleotides. The record is from Ensembl. NCBI's taxonomy places the organism in Eukaryota, Metazoa, Chordata, Mammalia, Rodentia, Sciuridae.
UGCUUGCUUCAGCAGCACUACACUAAAACUGGAAGGAUACAGAGAAGAAUAGCAUUGCCCCUACACAAGGAUGACAUGCAAAUUCAUGAAACAUUCCAUAUUAAA